Molecule: transfer RNA, 74 nt
Filed under: Bacteroidota bacterium
Lineage: Bacteria; Pseudomonadati; Bacteroidota
Description: Bacteroidetes bacterium (freshwater metagenome) tRNA-Ile
Rfam family: tRNA
About the family: Transfer RNA (tRNA) molecules are approximately 80 nucleotides in length. Their secondary structure includes four short double-helical elements and three loops (D, anti-codon, and T loops). Further hydrogen bonds mediate the characteristic L-shaped molecular structure. tRNAs have two regions of fundamental functional importance: the anti-codon, which is responsible for specific mRNA codon recognition, and the 3' end, to which the tRNAs corresponding amino acid is attached (by aminoacyl-tRNA synthetases). tRNAs cope with the degeneracy of the genetic code in two manners: having more than one tRNA (with a specific anti-codon) for a particular amino acid; and 'wobble' base-pairing, i.e. permitting non-standard base-pairing at the 3rd anti-codon position.
Source: RNAcentral
AGGCCAGUAGCUCAGUUGGUUAGAGCAUCACCCUGAUAAGGUGGGGGUCGGCAGUUCGACUCUGCCCUGGCCUA